Molecule: unclassified non-coding RNA, 211 nt
Filed under: plant metagenome
Description: partial contains small subunit ribosomal RNA, internal transcribed spacer 1, and 5.8S ribosomal RNA
Source: RNAcentral
UUUCCGUAGGUGAACCUGCGGUAGGAUCAUUCAUAAUAAAGUGUUUUAUGGCACUUUUUAAAAAUCCAUAUCCACCUUGUGUGCAAUGUUAGAUCUCGUCAAUCUUGGCGAGAUUUUUAUACAUCAACUCAUUCUUUAACUAAUUUGUCUGAAAAAUAUUAUGAAUACUUAAUUCAAAAUACAACUUUCAACAACGGAUCUCUUGGCUCUC